Molecule: transfer RNA, 77 nt
Filed under: Oscillospiraceae bacterium
Lineage: Bacteria; Bacillati; Bacillota; Clostridia; Eubacteriales; Oscillospiraceae
Description: tRNA-Pro
Rfam family: tRNA
About the family: Transfer RNA (tRNA) molecules are approximately 80 nucleotides in length. Their secondary structure includes four short double-helical elements and three loops (D, anti-codon, and T loops).
Source: RNAcentral
CGGGGUAUGGCACAGUUUGGUAGUGCGCUUGGUUCGGGACCAAGAGGCCGGGGGUUCAAGUCCCUCUACUCCGACCA